This 223-nucleotide unclassified non-coding RNA is filed under the name soil metagenome. RNAcentral describes it as "partial contains small subunit ribosomal RNA, internal transcribed spacer 1, and 5.8S ribosomal RNA". The record is from RNAcentral.
UAGCCGUAGGUGAACCUGCGGAAGGAUCAUUAUUGAUUUUUAAAAGAUGUGCUGGCAUUUAUUUGCAUGUGCACUCUUCACAAAAACCAAUAUCCACCUGUGCACAUUCUGUAAGCAACAGGGUGUAUGCCCUUUGCUUAUGUCUCUUUACAAACAACCAUUGAUUUAUUUGAAUGUCAUUUUAAAACCAAUACAACUUUCAACAAUGGAUCUCUUGGUUCCG